UUUCCGUAGGUGAACCUGCGGAAGGAUCAUUCAUAAUAAAGUGUUUUAUGGAACUUUCUAAAAAUCCAUAUUCACCUUGUGUGCAAUGUUAGAUCGCGUCAAUCUUGGCGAGAUGUUUAUACAUCAACUCAUUCUUUAACUAAUUUGUCUGAACAAUAUUAUGAAUACUUAAUUCAAAAUACAACUUUCAACAACGGAUCUCUUGGCUCUC
Molecule: unclassified non-coding RNA, 211 nt
Filed under: plant metagenome
Description: partial contains small subunit ribosomal RNA, internal transcribed spacer 1, and 5.8S ribosomal RNA
Source: RNAcentral